This 169-nucleotide small RNA is filed under the name Octactis speculum. Its description in RNAcentral is "partial transfer-messenger RNA". Lineage: Eukaryota; Dictyochophyceae; Dictyochales; Dictyochaceae. The record is from RNAcentral.
CUGGAAAAAAUGGAGCUAGAGAACUGCUUUCGAUUAAAUGGCCCAACAAACGAAUUGAGCUUGUCCAUCGAAGAGCGAGCUGCGCUGGGCAUCUUUUUUCUACGGCCCAAUAAAUUUUUGUCGGUAUGCUGGAUAUGAGUAUGUCGUUUGCAACUUGCUUCUUGACCAG